Molecule: long non-coding RNA, 931 nt
Organism: Peromyscus eremicus (cactus mouse)
Lineage: Eukaryota; Metazoa; Chordata; Mammalia; Rodentia; Cricetidae
Exons: 2
Source: RefSeq, a predicted model, not a curated record
UGUUGUGUUCGGUUUGCAUCCAAGUCGUCCGGAGGGUGGCCAUGAUCUCUCAGUCUCAAGCCUGUAAUGCCAGCACUGGGGAAUCGGGUGCUUCUAGCUGGAGGGUCAGGAGAAGAUAUACAGUUGAGGCCCUUUGGCAAGAGAAACUCUGUAUUGUGUCUAACCAACGUGGAUACCCCGGGAGGUCACUCUCCCCGGGCUCUGUCCUGGUGGCGUAGGGGAGCAUAGGGCUCUGCCCCGUGAUGUACAGUCCCUUUCCACAACGUUGGAGAUGAAGCUGGGCUUCGAGUCUGCGCCUGCAUAUUCCUACGACUUCUCAGAGUCCUGUGGACGAUGACUGAGGAGACAAACCAUGCAGGAGACAGCCUUAAAUCUCGAAAUCUGGGAGUGGGCCUGACGUGUUUGUUUCUGAAGUUGCUUUAGAAUUUUACUUACUGAAAAAAAAAUGCUUUCUCUUGCAGAACUGACCAGUGAUUACAAGUAACUCUUUGGUUGAGGAAAGAAGAGGAUCUGCACAGCUACCUGCUGAAGGAUAACUUGAUGCUUGACUUUGGAGACUUGUAACUAUGUAGUUUGGCAAGGUUUUGUCUGUUUUUAUGGGUUCAACCCAGAGCAGUCAGUACUACGCAAGCACUUCUGCCUAGGUCUUCUCAGUCUGGUAAAUGUAUAUUGUAUAUAUUCAAGAGACCUUAUUGAUGUCUAGAACUUUAUAUUUGUGCCCCUUUUUGAGGUCCAUGUGGUGUGUGUAAAAUUGCCUAGGAUGUACAAGGCCCUGUUCCUUUCUGCACAGGGCCAUAUAAACCACAAGUGGUACUUCUUCAUGCCUAUAAUCACUGUAAUCACACUAGAUUCAAGUAAUUUCUAUUCCUGUAAUUGUGAUAUGCCUGACUAAACUGUUAAUAUUUAUGUGAAUUAAAGGAUUAAUAUUGAA